This 79-nucleotide transfer RNA is filed under the name Pleodorina starrii. Its description in RNAcentral is "tRNA-Pro". It matches the Rfam family "tRNA". Rfam says of the family: Transfer RNA (tRNA) molecules are approximately 80 nucleotides in length. Their secondary structure includes four short double-helical elements and three loops (D, anti-codon, and T loops). The record is from RNAcentral. Lineage: Eukaryota; Viridiplantae; Chlorophyta; Chlorophyceae; Chlamydomonadales; Volvocaceae.
GCUGGGGAUUUGGUCUAGUGGUAUGGUGCUCGCUUCGGGUGCGAGAGGCCGCGAGUUUCGAUUCUCGCCUCCCCUUGCG